Molecule: RNA transcript, 2804 nt
Organism: Sinocyclocheilus rhinocerous
Lineage: Eukaryota; Metazoa; Chordata; Actinopteri; Cypriniformes; Cyprinidae
Gene: aff1
Gene name: AF4/FMR2 family, member 1
Exons: 20
Source: RefSeq, a predicted model, not a curated record
AAUUAUACGAAUUAAUGGUUAAUUCUUAAAAUGGCUUAUGAGUUAGGUUACAAAAGGAGUCUGUUGUUCAAUAUAUAGUUUAAUCGUGUCUGUUUGACACACUAAUCUGAAGCACUGUGCCUCAGUUGACCCGCCCUCCUGAGUGGACGCGUCCGCGGAGCUCCGUUCUGCUGCUGAGUUCGCUUCAGCCAAACUGCGAUUUCUAAAAGUCAUCUUUGAUUUCUAGAUUUGACGAAAUGUGAUAAAUCGGCGGAUCGUCUCGUCAUGAGCGACCGAAAACCGGCGCCUGACAGCGGACAGUACAAGCCGAGAAUGAGCGGAGGGAGCAGCAGUGUGCAGAUGGAGGAUCGCAACAUGCUGCGACGGAUGGAGAAGGAGAGAAGGAGUCAGGGGGUGCAGCAGGAGGAGACGCAGUAUGACAGAAUCGCUCCUCUCUUCAACAAGCCGUAUAAGAGAAUCAAAGAUGAUGAGCUGUCCAGUCUCAUCCAGAGGAUGCUGGGUAAUUAUGAGGAAGGAUAUGACGGACCUGAGGAACUUUGUCCUGCGCUUCAUAAUGAGCGUUCUGCGCACUUCCCUCACGUGGACGAGCAGUCGGGAUGCACGGAUCGCUCCAGAGCCGCUUCAGACUCCGGCCCUCCUUCAGGUGAGAGCUGGGACAGUUUACCGGCCCUGUGUCCCCCGGUGGAGCCGCUGUCCCCUCUACAGUCCAGUGACUCGGACGGCGGCCCGUGUCCAGAGCGCAGCAGGCCAGACGCGCCUCCGCUGACUCACGCACUCCCGCUGAAUUUGCAUGGUAAACUGGCCAACGCCAAGAAACCCACAGCAUAUGUGAGGCCGACGGUCGGUCAGGACCAGGUGACCAGCGGUUCUCCCGAACUGAAGGCCUCACCGGAGUCUUAUGAGCACUUACAGGACCUGAAGGAGAGCAGCAAACCAAACCUUCCCGCUCUGCAGUCUGCUGAUAUUGUGUCUGGAGCGCGUGUGGGGGACAUUCUGCAGGAAAUGACCUCAUGGCCUCCACUACUGACGACCAUUUGCACGCCAACCACAGCCGAGCCGCCUAAGUUCUCCUCCACUAAUGAGGAGACACAUGGAUUCCCGACUCUCAAAGCUGAUGAAUCAUCAGACAAAGUUCAGCGGGAAUCUCCAGGUGUUUCCAGCAGCUCCAGUGAUACUGACAGCAGUUCUGAAACAGACAGUGAAAAGAGCAGCAGCCCAGAUGAACCAGCAGCUCCUGAGACAUUACACACACAGCCACAGAAAGAGAGUGACUGGCAGUUAGGCCGAUGGUUAGAAAGGAGGGAUCACCAGCAGGACCCUAGGAGCCCAUGUGAUGUCAUCAGGCCAAACUCCCAUGAUUCCUCUGAAAGGACUGGUUCACAGAGUUGCCAUAGUGACCCGACUGAUGGCAGCAAAGCGUCCGAUCACAGACAGACUGUGGGGAGCAAGAACAGGUGUGAGGAUCUGCUGUUAGAAAGCACUGGCGUGAAGAUUUCCCAGCGUGCUGAAAACACAUCCACACACAGAGCGAAACACAAGAGAAAGAAAACGGCACAUCACCCAGAGCAGAAGAGAACGACAACAGACAACAACAUCAGCAAACAAACAGACAGGAAAGAAACACAUGAGCCGCUGCUGGUGAAGAUAGAGCUGAACCUGCUCUCCAGAAUCCCUCGGGAGCCCAGAUCAGCUCCACCUCUCGCAGAGAGCAACAGCGCGCCAGGACGCAAGAGAGCGAUGGAGAGGGAUGAAAAGUCUUCAAAGAAGAAACAGAAACUAGACAAAGAGGGAAAACAGUCUUCCUCCUCUCAGCAAAGCCUCCACCAAUCAGAAGCCGUGAGGAACAGCGACACGAUGAUGAAGAAGAAGAGUGUGAAACACAGGUCAGGUGGUCUUCAGGAGCCGCACAAAGACUCGGGACGCGAGCGUCACUCAGCCGCGGCUCCUGACGGCCAGCAGAAGAAAGCAGAGACUCGUGGGAAGAAAACCUGCAAGAGCCGCAAGGAGCUCCCGGAGAAACCGUGUCCACGAGCGCUGCUGCCGCCUGAUCGCAGGAAACUCUCAGUGGAAGAUCAUUUGAAGGAAGCCAAAAAGCUGAAGCACAAAGCAGAUGCUACGCCGGAUAAGAUGGCUAAAGCGCUGUGCUAUCUGGAGGCUGCGCUGUCGUUCGCGGAGAGCGGCGUCGCCAUGGAGACGGAGCCGCAGAUGCCCAAAUCUGCCUACACCAUGUUCUCGGAGACGGUGGACCUGAUCAGGUUUAUUCUGAAGCUGAAGAGCUACACGGAUCCGUCAGCCGCCGCCCACGAGAGAGAUUUCUGUGUCCUGUGCAUGCGAUGCCAGUCUCUGCUGCAGAUGGCCAUGUUCCGCUACAAACGAGAUGCGGCGCUCAAAUACUCGCGGACGCUCACAGAUCAUUUCAAAAGCUUGUCGUGGUCUGCGUCUCCGUCUGUGUCCAAGAGUGCCGUCUCGUCUCUGGUCAUUCCUCAGCCCAUCCAGCAGGUGGCAGCGGCGUACGUCAGCAUCACGACACUCUUCCUGAGCGCUCACGAGACGUGGGAGCAGGCGGACGAGAUCGCUCUCACAGGCAGCGGUUUGCUGCGAGAGCUGGAUUCAGCUGUUGGUCCUCUGAGUCUGACGUCCUCCAUGAGUGCAUUAGUGCGAUACACACGACACGGCCUGCACUGGAUCAGACUCGACACACAGAACACGCGCUGAGAGAGCCUUCAGAGCGUCACAUGAGACACACACACACACACACACACACACACACUCUCACACACACACACACACACACACACACACAC